CCUCGGAUCAGGUAGGGAUACCCGCUGAACUUAAGCAUAUCAGUAAGCGGAGGAAAA
This 57-nucleotide ribosomal RNA is filed under the name Penicillium brevicompactum. RNAcentral describes it as "partial 28S ribosomal RNA". Lineage: Eukaryota; Fungi; Ascomycota; Eurotiomycetes; Eurotiales; Aspergillaceae. The record is from RNAcentral.